This is an RNA transcript of Rhinopithecus roxellana (golden snub-nosed monkey), 546 nucleotides long. RefSeq lists it as uncharacterized. NCBI's taxonomy places the organism in Eukaryota, Metazoa, Chordata, Mammalia, Primates, Cercopithecidae. The transcript has 2 exons. The record is from RefSeq and is a predicted model, not a curated record.
GUUUGGCCCAAGACUGGGCUGUGGUUACAUUAAUGCCCAGCCAGCCACCCCCGCCACUCACCCCUCCUGGCCCAGGCCUUGCUGACUCUGUGAUCUGGGGAGGUGGGAGGCCAGGCGAGCCUGACUCUGUUGUCCUACCCAUGCCUGGCCAACUCUCUCCCAUUUUAACACACUACUUUCUGACUACAAAAGUGGCAUGUACAAUGGGAAAUGUCAGAAUUAAAUAGCCCAGGAAGACACUCAAAAGCCUCUGUGAUGCUCCUUCCGGUCCUGGUCCUGCGGUGUCGGCCUCUGGUCUCCCCCCUGGUGCGGCAUCCUUACCACUGCAGUAACUGGGAAGAAACGUUCCCCAUGCAUUGCUCUAAAUCCCGCUGGAUCUGGUUUUGGGGGUGCUGGGCUGCUGCCCAGGAGACUGGAAGGGGAGGAAGGCAUGUGCCCCUGAGGGCUUCGAAAGCACUCUGUGCCGUGAGGAUCCCACCUCCUGCACUCCCAGAAAGUGGCUGGUAUUUUUCUGCUCCAGCAGGGAGCCCAGGUGAGGUUCUCUAG